GCCCCAUGCGAAGGUUCCGGGAUCGAUCAAAAGCGCGUCCUCCCCCAGGGCUUCGCCCGCGGGCGGCCCUGCGCCCCGCUCGAUUCAAAGGCGGCGCGGUGAUCCCAGCGCCCCCGACUUCGCUCUUCUCAGAUCGACAGAAACGCAGCAGCCGAGAUGAGGAAGUAGAAGCAGGACUGGCUCUAUAAUUUGCAUAGUACACCAACAUGUUGUCCUCCUUGCUCAGGAAUCAUCAGGCAUUUCAAGAUGUGCAAGGACCAAACCCAGGGCCUAAUGCCUGCAAGACAAAGUGACACCCAAGUGAAAAAUUGAAAAAGGGAUUGCAGGUGUGUGACAUCGGGCCAGCUGUAAACGAAUUGCUGAGGACCGUUUGGUGACCUUCAGAAAUUCAGAAUCCACUGAAGUUCGAUAACUUCUCGCGCUAUGUUCUGCACAACAUUAGGGCUUCUGAGAUAUGGCUAAAAUUGUCUUCGUGGUCAAAUAUCUGGCAUAAAAAAAAGGAAUGUCGGUCUUCCAUGUGGCAGUCUUCCGCAUGAUAAAUUGAUAGAGCAGCCCUUUUCUGGAGGAUGUGGCAAUCUUCCAGCAUUCCCUAUGUUGCCUGCCUAGCUUUGAACUUCCAGUCUUCCUACUUCAGCCUCCCACAUAGCUGAACUAUAGAUUCACACCUCUAUGCCCAGCUGAUUUGUGAGACUUCUAUAAAGAAAAUUUAUUACUUAUUAAAGAAGACAUGAAUAACAAGAAAGUUUCAGAUGAUAUCCCAGACGGAGAGAUGUUGCAGUCUUCUAUAAAGAAAAUGAGCUACAGAGAUGUUGCCCAAAGCCACAGCUAAUAAAUAGCAAAGCUUUUCCCAUCGUCCCUCCUUACCCACAAGGAAUAUGU
Molecule: long non-coding RNA, 879 nt
Organism: Fukomys damarensis (Damara mole-rat)
Lineage: Eukaryota; Metazoa; Chordata; Mammalia; Rodentia; Bathyergidae
Exons: 8
Source: RefSeq, a predicted model, not a curated record